GAGGGUAUAGCUCAGUGGUAGAGCGCAUGCUUAGCAUACACAAGGUCCUGGGUUCAAUCCUUAGUACCUCCU
RNAcentral lists this transfer RNA (72 nucleotides) under Camelus bactrianus (Bactrian camel). It matches the Rfam family "tRNA". From Rfam's summary of the family: Transfer RNA (tRNA) molecules are approximately 80 nucleotides in length. Their secondary structure includes four short double-helical elements and three loops (D, anti-codon, and T loops). Further hydrogen bonds mediate the characteristic L-shaped molecular structure. tRNAs have two regions of fundamental functional importance: the anti-codon, which is responsible for specific mRNA codon recognition, and the 3' end, to which the tRNAs corresponding amino acid is attached (by aminoacyl-tRNA synthetases). tRNAs cope with the degeneracy of the genetic code in two manners: having more than one tRNA (with a specific anti-codon) for a particular amino acid; and 'wobble' base-pairing, i.e. permitting non-standard base-pairing at the 3rd anti-codon position. Lineage: Eukaryota; Metazoa; Chordata; Mammalia; Artiodactyla; Camelidae. The record is from Rfam by way of RNAcentral. RNAcentral also lists the same sequence under 3 other names.